This 508-nucleotide ribosomal RNA is filed under the name uncultured bacterium. RNAcentral describes it as "bacterial SSU rRNA". It matches the Rfam family "Bacterial small subunit ribosomal RNA", at positions 1 to 507 of the family's 1533-position model. The record is from RNAcentral.
AGUACAGACGAGUUUGAUCCUGGCUCAGGAUGAACGCUAGCGGCAGGCCUAAUACAUGCAAGUCGAACGGAAUAUGAUUUUCGGAUUAUAUUUAGUGGCGCACGGGUGAGUAACACGUACAUAACUUACCCUCAAGAGGGGGAUAGCCUCGGGAAACUGAGCGUAAUACCCCAUAGUAUUAUUGAACGGCAUCGUUUGAUAAUUAAAGCUACGGCGCUUGAGGAUAGAUGUGCGUCUGAUUAGCUAGUUGGUAAGGUAACGGCUUACCAAGGCGACGAUCAGUAGGGGGCGUGAGAGCGUGGCCCCCCACACGGGUACUGAGACACGGACCCGACUCCUACGGGAGGCAGCAGUAAGGAAUAUUGGUCAAUGCCCGGAAGGGUGAACCAGCCAUGCCGCGUGAAGGAUGACUGCCCUCUGGGUUGUAAACUUCUUUUGGAUGGGACGAAAAAACGGGAUUUAUCCUGGACUGACGGUACCAUCAGAAUAAGCACCGGCUAACUCCGUG